ACCCCCCCGAAUUGUAGUCUAGAAAGGCGCCAUCGGCCGCGUCCGCCGCUCAAAUCCCUUGGAACGGGGUAUCGGAGAAGGUGAGAAUCCUGUGCCGUGGCGGUUCGCGGUCGCACGAUGCGUCCUUGCCGAGUCGGGUUGCUUGGGAUUGCAGCUUGAAGUGGGUGGUAAAUUCCAUCUAAAGCUAAAUACUGGCGAGAGACCGAUAGCGAACAAGUACCGUGAGGGAAAGAUGCAAAGAACUUUGAAAAGAGAGUUAAAGAGUGCUUGAAAUCGGCGAGAGGAAACCCGUUUGCGCCCGGUAUCGCGCCGUCGACUCAGCCGGUCCUCGGAUCGGUGCACUUUGUCGGCGCGGGUCAUCCUGGGCUGCGUGGGCGGGAGAUGCCCGGUGGGAGGGCUUCGGCGAUCCACCGGGAGCGCCGCGCGUGCGGCUCCGGCUGACGGAACGGGCGCAACCGACCCGUCUAGAAACACGGACCAAGGAGUCUGACACGUGUGCGAGUACCCGGGUGGCAAGCCCGCGUGCGCAAUGAAAGUGAAGGGCGUACUCCGCCAACCGACCUUGAUCUUCUGUGAAGGGUUUGAGUGUAGCACAUCUGUCGGGACCCGAAAGAUGGUGAACUAUGCCUGAGGAGGGUGAAGCCAGAGGAAACUCUGGUGGAGGCUCGUAGCGAUACUGACGUGCAAAUCGUUCGUCGAACUUGGGUAUAGGGGCGAAAGACUAAUCGAACCAUCUAGUAGCUGGUUCCCUCCGAAGUUUCCCUCAGGAUAGCUUGAACGCCGACGGUUUUGU
Molecule: ribosomal RNA, 793 nt
Filed under: Haptolina brevifila
Lineage: Eukaryota; Haptophyta; Prymnesiales; Prymnesiaceae
Description: eukaryotic LSU rRNA
Rfam family: Eukaryotic large subunit ribosomal RNA
Source: RNAcentral